RNAcentral lists this ribosomal RNA (484 nucleotides) under uncultured bacterium. RNAcentral describes it as "partial 16S ribosomal RNA". It matches the Rfam family "Bacterial small subunit ribosomal RNA", at positions 30 to 507 of the family's 1533-position model. The record is from RNAcentral.
AUUGAACGCUGGCGGCAGGCCUAACACAUGCAAGUCGAGCGGAUGAAGGGAGCUUGCUCCUGGAUUCAGCGGCGGACGGGUGAGUAAUGCCUAGGAAUCUGCCUGGUAGUGGGGGAUAACGUCCGGAAACGGGCGCUAAUACCGCAUACGUCCUGAGGGAGAAAGUGGGGGAUCUUCGGACCUCACGCUAUCAGAUGAGCCUAGGUCGGAUUAGCUAGUUGGUGGGGUAAAGGCCUACCAAGGCGACGAUCCGUAACUGGUCUGAGAGGAUGAUCAGUCACACUGGAACUGAGACACGGUCCAGACUCCUACGGGGGGCAGCAGUGGGGAAUAUUGGACGAUGGGCGAAAGCCUGAUACAGCCAUGCCGCGUGUGUGAAGAAGGUCUUCGGAUUGUAAAGCACUGUAAGUUGGGAGGAAGGGCAGUAAGUUAAUACCUUGCUGUUUUGACGUUACCAACAGAAUAAGCACCGGCUAACUUCGUG